GCCGGGGUGGCACAAUCUGGUACUGCGUAAGCCUGCUAAGCUUAUUUCCCGCAAGGGAUUUCCGGGUUCAAAUCCCGGCCCCGGCG
RNAcentral lists this transfer RNA (86 nucleotides) under Candidatus Woesearchaeota archaeon CG1_02_57_44. RNAcentral describes it as "tRNA-Ser". It matches the Rfam family "tRNA". Rfam says of the family: Transfer RNA (tRNA) molecules are approximately 80 nucleotides in length. Their secondary structure includes four short double-helical elements and three loops (D, anti-codon, and T loops). Lineage: Archaea; Nanobdellati; Candidatus Woesearchaeota. RNAcentral also lists the same sequence under 1 other name. The record is from RNAcentral.